RNAcentral lists this ribosomal RNA (819 nucleotides) under uncultured Moraxella sp. RNAcentral describes it as "bacterial SSU rRNA". It matches the Rfam family "Bacterial small subunit ribosomal RNA", at positions 52 to 871 of the family's 1533-position model. The record is from RNAcentral. Lineage: Bacteria; Pseudomonadati; Pseudomonadota; Gammaproteobacteria; Moraxellales; Moraxellaceae.
CACAUGCAAGUCGAACGAAGUUAGGAAGCUUGCUUCUGAUACUUAGUGGCGGACGGGUGAGUAAUGCUUAGGAAUCUGCCUAGUAGUGGGGGAUAACUUGGGGAAACCUAAGCUAAUACCGCAUACGACCUACGGGUGAAAGGGGGCGCAAGCUCUCGCUAUUAGAUGAGCCUAAGUCGGAUUAGCUAGUUGGUGGGGUAAAGGCCUACCAAGGCGACGAUCUGUAGCUGGUCUGAGAGGAUGAUCAGCCACACUGGGACUGAGACACGGCCCAGACUCCUACGGGAGGCAGCAGUGGGGAAUAUUGGACAAUGGGCGAAAGCCUGAUCCAGCCAUGCCGCGUGUGUGAAGAAGGCCUUUUGGUUGUAAAGCACUUUAAGUGGGGAGGAAAAGCUUAUGGUUAAUACCCAUAAGCCCUGACGUUACCCACAGAAUAAGCACCGGCUAACUCUGUGCCAGCAGCCGCGGUAAUACAGAGGGUGCAAGCGUUAAUCGGAAUUACUGGGCGUAAAGCGCGCGUAGGUGGUUAUUUAAGUCAGAUGUGAAAGCCCCGGGCUUAACCUGGGAACUGCAUCUGAUACUGGAUAACUAGAGUAGGUGAGAGGGGAGUAGAAUUCCAGGUGUAGCGGUGAAAUGCGUAGAGAUCUGGAGGAAUACCGAUGGCGAAGGCAGCUCCCUGGCAUCAUACUGACACUGAGGUGCGAAAGCGUGGGUAGCAAACAGGAUUAGAUACCCUGGUAGUCCACGCCGUAAACGAUGUCUACCAGUCGUUGGGUCUUUUAAAGACUUAGUGACGCAGUUAACGCAAUAAGUAGACCG